CGCUGGCGGCGUGCCUAACACAUGCAAGUCGAACGGAAAUUACAGAAGGAAAGUUUUCGGAUGGAAUUUUGUAAUUUUAGUGGCGGACGGGUGAGUAACACGUGGGUAACCUGCCCUGUACCGGGGGAUAACAGUUGGAAACGGCUGUUAAUACCGCAUAAGCGCACAGUUCCGCAUGGAACAGUGUGAAAAACUCCGGUGGUACAGGAUGGACCCGCGUCUGAUUAGCUUGUUGGCGGGGUAACGGCCCACCAAGGCGACGAUCAGUAGCCGGCCUGAGAGGGUGAACGGCCACAUUGGGACUGAGACACGGCCCAGACUCCUACGGGAGGCAGCAGUGGGGAAUAUUGCACAAUGGAGGAAACUCUGAUGCAGCGACGCCGCGUGAGCGAUGAAGUAUUUCGGUAUGUAAAGCUUCUAUCAGCAGGGAAGAUAAUGACGGUACCUGACUAAGAAGCCCCGGCUAAUUACG
RNAcentral lists this ribosomal RNA (472 nucleotides) under mixed culture ruminal bacterium PAD193. RNAcentral's name for it is "bacterial SSU rRNA". It matches the Rfam family "Bacterial small subunit ribosomal RNA", at positions 34 to 505 of the family's 1533-position model. Lineage: Bacteria; Bacillati; Bacillota; Clostridia; Eubacteriales. The record is from RNAcentral.